CUGACCCUUUUUCACCCCAUUUCACUUUAGGACACGCUCUGGGCAUGUUCCAGGAAUUUCUAAAGUCCCUCACUGUUUUUUUUUUUUUUUUCUCACCCCCUUCUUCCAACUUGGUCCCUAAACACGUUAAUUUGUUCCUAGAAAUUAUCUACUUGUUUGUUAUGUUUUGGGUUUAGGUUUUUUUUUUGUUUUUUUUUUUUUUUUUUUUUUUUUUUUUGCUAACAUGUAGAUGUUUUGUCAUUUUCUUUUUNNNNNNNNNNNNNNNNNNNNGGUUUUUUUUUUGUUUUUUUUUUUUUUUUUUUUUUUUUUUUUUUUGUUUUGUUUUUUUUUUUGUUUUUUGUUUUGUUUUGUUUGUUUUGCACACAGAAAUCCUCAGACCAAAGCAAACACUGCCCCAGAAAAAUGUUGCAAUUCAACCCAGUUUUGAGGGAAGUGUCUCUGAUAACUUCUCAGCUCCAAAGAGAAGCAGUGGAGGCUGGGGCCACCGAGUCUCCAUGGAAAUCACGGAGGGUCUCAUCAGGUCCAGCCCGAAGGAGAGGAGCGGGUUUGAGCUGUGUUUGCACCGUCUGGCCAGGAAGAGAGGACUCAUCUCUGCCACAAAGGACCGUGAGACACAGCUCCUGAUCUGCGAGCACUUGCUCUUGCUACAGGCACUAACUGAGGGAAGCCUAGGUGGCC
This 678-nucleotide long non-coding RNA is filed under the name Serinus canaria (Common canary). RNAcentral's name for it is "lncRNA (ENSSCAG00000001870.1)". Lineage: Eukaryota; Metazoa; Chordata; Aves; Passeriformes; Fringillidae. The record is from RNAcentral.